Molecule: ribosomal RNA, 433 nt
Filed under: uncultured bacterium
Lineage: Bacteria
Description: partial 16S ribosomal RNA
Rfam family: Bacterial small subunit ribosomal RNA
Source: RNAcentral
AACGAACGCUGGCGGCAUGCCUAACACAUGCAAGUCGAACGAGACCUUCGGGUCUAGUGGCGCACGGGUGCGUAACGCGUGGGAACCUGCCCUUAGGUUCGGGAUAACUCCCCGAAAGGGGUGCUAAUACCGGAUAAUGUCUUCGGACCAAAGAUUUAUCGCCUUUGGAUGGGCCCGCGUUGGAUUAGCUAGUUGGUAGGGUAAAAGCCUACCAAGGCGACGAUCCAUAGCUGGUCUGAGAGGAUGAUCAGCCACACUGGGACUGAGACACGGCCCAGACUCCUACGGGAGGCAGCAGUGGGGAAUAUUGGACGAUGGGCGAAAGCCUGAUCCAGCAAUGCCGCGUGAGUGAUGAAGGCCUUAGGGUUGUAAAGCUCUUUUACCCGGGAUGAUAAUGACAGUACCGGGAGAAUAAGCUCCGGCUAACUCCGUG